UCUCCCGUGAGGGAGCAGUCUCGCCUGGUCAUAUAGACAACAGACAACGGGGGUUGCGUUCGUUACCCCACUGAAGGGAACAGUUCAAACCACGAACUGACGACGACCAUGCAUCACCUGUCCAGCACCCUCGAAGGCUCCCUGCCUUUCGGCUGGGAUGCAGCUGGAUUUCUAACCUUGGUAAGGUUCUUCGUUUGCCGACGAAUUAAGCCACAUAAUCCACCGCUUGUGCGAGUCCCCGUCUAUUCCUUUGAGUUUUAAUCUUGCGAUCGUACUACCCAGGCGGCUCGCUUACCGCGUUAGCUUAGCCUCACAGAGGGUCGAUACUCCGUAAAGCGAGCGAGCAACGUUGAGGGCCAGGACUAC
RNAcentral lists this unclassified non-coding RNA (366 nucleotides) under uncultured bacterium. Its description in RNAcentral is "contains 16S-23S intergenic spacer region". The record is from RNAcentral.